Molecule: ribosomal RNA, 484 nt
Filed under: uncultured bacterium
Lineage: Bacteria
Description: bacterial SSU rRNA
Rfam family: Bacterial small subunit ribosomal RNA
Source: RNAcentral
GACGAACGCUGGCGGCGUGCUUAAUACAUGCAAGUCGACUGAACUUAAGGUAGCAAUAUUUUAAGGGAGGUGGCGCACGGGUGAGUAACACGUAGGUAAUCUGCCUUUAGGUCUGACAUAAUUCCGCGAAAGCGGGACUAACUUCAGAUGAUGCAGCGGCUCGACAUCGAGACAGUUGUUAAAUCUUCGGAGCCUAAAGAUGAGCCUGCGUCUGAUUAGGUAGUUGGCGGAGUAAAAGCCCACCAAGCCUGCGAUCAGUAGCUGGUCUGAGAGGAUGAUCAGCCACACUGGAACUGAGACACGGUCCAGACUCCUACGGGAGGCAGCAGUAAGGAAUAUUGCUCAAUGGCCGAAAGGCUGAAGCAGCAACGCCGCGUGGAGGAUGAAAUACUUUUGUAUGUAAACUCCUGUAAGAAGGGAAAAUAUUCCGAUUUAUCGGGAUUGAUUGUACCUUCAGAGUAACGCCCCGGCUAACUACGUGCCA